UACGAAGGGGGCUAGCGUUGCUCGGAAUUACUGGGCGUAAAGGGCGCGUAGGCGGAUGUUUAAGUCGGGGGUGAAAGCCCGGGGCUCAACCUCGGAAUUGCCUUUGAUACUGGACAUCUUGAGUACGGGAGAGGUGAGUGGAACUCCGAGUGUAGAGGUGAAAUUCGUAGAUAUUCGGAAGAACACCAGUGGCGAAGGCGACUCACUGGCCCGUUACUGACGCUGAGGCGCGAAAGCGUGGGGAGCAAACAGG
RNAcentral lists this ribosomal RNA (253 nucleotides) under uncultured bacterium. Its description in RNAcentral is "partial 16S ribosomal RNA". It matches the Rfam family "Bacterial small subunit ribosomal RNA", at positions 524 to 776 of the family's 1533-position model. The record is from RNAcentral.